CGCAGCGCCCAGCGCCCAGCGCAGCAUCCCAGGGCCGCUGAAGGUAGCUGAGGCUCAAGCUUGCAAUCAGAUCUCCGCACUGGACCGGGACCCUGGGCAAGCUUGCCACCAAAAGACCCAUUUUCUCUUCUUGCGCAUUUCGCAGUCGUAGCUGGCCUGGGGAAUGCGAGCACGGUGGUGGCUUCCUUCGGGUCGCCCAGAAGCAGCUGCCGGUGGGAGAGCUAGCAGAGAGGCACGGGGGCGGCAGCCUCGGCCCAAAGUUUUCUCCCUUCAACCCUGUGUUUGACAUCUUCUAUCCAUGAGCACAACUGUUUCCCGAGCAAGAAAUACUGACUAUGGGAUGGAAAUACUGGAGCCCUAAGUUUGUAGCUGAUUAUACCGUACCCCAGAGACAAAGGUGGGACUGCACCCCAGAACCCCUGAAAGCUGCCCUCGAAGGAUUAUACUACUUAUAUGUCAAUCCCCCCUCCACCCGACUGUCUUCUUAGGCAUAGAAGGAUUCCACUGGUUUCCUAAAGGAACACACUGUUAGGAACUACCGCCAUCUCCGUGUUAACAUUGUGGAAAUGAGAUUCAAAUGAGGUACGGAUCUCUCUGGAAGCAAAAGAAAGCAGUUAUGCCCUGGGUAAAAUGCAAGUCGCUCUCUCGGGUGUUGUGCUAAGGAGUGUUUGGCUCGCUCCGUGAUUCUUCACCUCUUGCCGAUACAGUUCUGCUCUUCCGUGCUUCCUAUUAGCUUGUUGCAUUGGAUCGUCAGUCUGGAUUUUGCAUAUUAAAUGGUGUAAGUAAAACCGAUGUGAUGGACUACCUGUGGCACACUCAGCUACAAAAUAAAAGCUUUUUUAACCCAGGGUUUAGGAGGAAGAGGCAGGCAGAUCUCUGUGAGUUCGAGGCCGGCUUCGUCUAUAUAGAGUUCCAGGGACAGCCUUAGUCUCAAAAUAUAAAACAAAACAAACAAAAAGAGUCACUACAUACAGCUCAAAGAGAAAGGCAAGCCCAAUAAGCCUCCCAUUUGGGCUCCAUGUCAAACCUUACAGGUUGAAAUCUCAGGUUGUUCAUCCAGAAGGCUCCUACAUCCACAUCUCUAAUCCUGCUCCUGGAACAGCCCAGAUGCAACCUCAAGACAAGCGUCUUUUUGCAUAACACUAUGGGACAGAAUAAACGGAAGGAAAGAUCCAGGAGGGAUCUCUCCAUCUCAGAAAACCACACUGCUUGAUGAUAAGAUAGUGAUCUCUUCCUCUGGCUUUACCGGGGAAAAGUCUCCCUUGUACUUUGAAUGAGGGAUUUCCCCUAAACAAUGCCGAUGACCUCGGUUUAGUUGCAGCCCUGGAGACCAGUGAUUAAAGCAAAGCCAGGCUUAUGGGGGACGCUGGGCUAUAAUGCCUAUUAUGAUAAACUAUAAUUCAGAAGCAUCUUGCAGAGACAAGAAAAGUCAAGAUUUUAAGUACAGCUUUAACAACAGUUCAGCUUCAUCCGG
Rattus rattus (black rat) is the source of this 1474-nucleotide long non-coding RNA. RefSeq lists it as uncharacterized. NCBI's taxonomy places the organism in Eukaryota, Metazoa, Chordata, Mammalia, Rodentia, Muridae. The record is from RefSeq and is a predicted model, not a curated record. The transcript is spliced from 4 exons.